This 413-nucleotide RNase P RNA is filed under the name Rhodospirillaceae bacterium BRH_c57. Its description in RNAcentral is "bacterial RNase P". It matches the Rfam family "Bacterial RNase P class A". From Rfam's summary of the family: Ribonuclease P (RNase P) is a ubiquitous endoribonuclease, found in archaea, bacteria and eukarya as well as chloroplasts and mitochondria. Its best characterised activity is the generation of mature 5'-ends of tRNAs by cleaving the 5'-leader elements of precursor-tRNAs. Lineage: Bacteria; Pseudomonadati; Pseudomonadota; Alphaproteobacteria; Rhodospirillales; Rhodospirillaceae. The record is from RNAcentral.
UCAGAUGGCUGGAUGGCCGCUCCGCCCGCCUCAAAGCGGGUGGGGAGGAAAGUCCGGGCUCCACGGAAACACGGUGCCGGGUAACGCCCGGCGGGGGCGACCCCAGGGAAAGUGCCACAGAAAGCAAACCGCCGGAGCGCGCUCCGGUAAGGGUGAAAGGGUGGGGUAAGAGCCCACCGCGGACCUGGCAACAGGAACGGCACGGUAAACCCCACCGGGAGCAAAACCAAAUAGGGACGGCUGCCACCAACCACGGGUUUAUACUCGCAGGGGUGGCGGGCAUGUUUUCCGAGCCGCCGUCCGGGUCGGUUGCGCGAGGCGUUCAGCAAUGGGCGUCCCAGAUGAAUGGCCAUCCAUCGCCAAGGCUUCGGCCACGGCGGGGACAAAACCCGGCUUACAGGCCAUCUGACGCC